RNAcentral lists this ribosomal RNA (482 nucleotides) under uncultured bacterium. RNAcentral's name for it is "partial 16S ribosomal RNA". It matches the Rfam family "Bacterial small subunit ribosomal RNA", at positions 30 to 507 of the family's 1533-position model. The record is from RNAcentral.
AUUGAACGCUGGCGGCAUGCUUUACACAUGCAAGUCGAACGGUAACAGGCCGCAAGGUGCUGACGAGUGGCGAACGGGGGAGUAAUGUAUCGGAACGUGCCCAGUCGUGGGGGAUAACUACUCGAAAGAGUAGCUAAUACCGCAUACGAUCUAUGGAUGAAAGCGGGGGACCGUAAGGCCUCGCGCGAUUGGAGCUGCCGAUGUCAGAUUAGGUAGUUGGUGGGGUAAAGGCUCACCAAGCCAACGAUCUGUAGCUGGUCUGAGAGGACGACCAGCCACACUGGGACUGAGACACGGCCCAGACUCCUACGGGAGGCAGCAGUGGGGAAUUUUGGACAAUGGGCGCAAGCCUGAUCCAGCAAUGCCGCGUGCAGGAAGAAGGCCUUCGGGUUGUAAACUGCUUUUGUACGGAACGAAACGGCUCUGGUUAAUACCCGGGGCUAAUGACGGUACCGUAAGAAUAAGCACCGGCUAACUACGUG